This 301-nucleotide ribosomal RNA is filed under the name uncultured bacterium. Its description in RNAcentral is "partial 16S ribosomal RNA". It matches the Rfam family "Bacterial small subunit ribosomal RNA", at positions 509 to 808 of the family's 1533-position model. The record is from RNAcentral.
CAGCCGCCGCGGGAAUACGAAGGGUGCAAGCGUUAAUCGGAAUUACUGGGCGUAAAGCGCGCGUAGGUGGUUCAUUAAGUUGGAUGUGAAGGCCCUGGGCUCAACCUGGGAACUGCAUCCAAAACUGGUGAGCUAGAGUACGGUAGAGGGUAGUGGAAUUUCCUGUGUAGCGGUGAAAUGCGUAGAUAUAGGAAGGAACACCAGUGGCGAAGGCGACUACCUGGACUGAUACUGACACUGAGGUGCGAAAGCGUGGGGAGCAAACAGGAUUAGAUACCCCGGUAGUCCCGUCUCUUAUACC